This 1720-nucleotide long non-coding RNA is filed under the name Sus scrofa (pig). RNAcentral describes it as "lncRNA (ENSSSCG00050019487.1)". Lineage: Eukaryota; Metazoa; Chordata; Mammalia; Artiodactyla; Suidae. The record is from RNAcentral.
UGUAUAUAUAAGUUGUAUUUAUAUGAGACUGUAAUCUACCAAGGGUACAGUGGCAUUAUGCCCCCCCCAUCCAUGCACCUUAAUUCAAACUAGCUCCCGGCCAAAAAAUGAGGGGCCAAACAAAUACAAUCAUAACUUCAAAGAUUGUGGAUCACAGAUCCCCAAAACAUAUAGUAAUGAUGGUGAAGCUUGAAAUACUGCAAGACCUGCCAGCAUGUCAAGGGAGCAAAUACUUUUGGAAAAAUGGUGCCAGUAGACUUUGAAGUCCCUUUCGAAUUGCUAUGUCCCCUGAGACUCCGCUGUCAUGUGGUACGUAGUUUGGCCUCUGAUGCUUUCAGAAUGGCCUUUAUAUGAGCACCUACCAUGUGCCAACUUUCGUGCCAGGCAGGUUUUACACUCUGCACCUCCUUUUCAUUUAAUCUGUUCCAGAGAUCUGUAGUCACUGUGAAGUGAUCUCACUUUAGAGACAUUUUACUGAUGAGAGCGCUGAAACUCAGAGAGGUUAAGUAAUUUGCCUAAGGUCACACAGCCCCUAUGUGGAAGAGUCCUUUUUGAAUUUAGGUCUGUCUGACUUCAAAAGUAGUGGGGUUUUUUAAAACUAAAUUUUACAACUGAAAAGGGCAACUCUAACUAGACCUUCCUUAUUAGUAGCAAGGGAUUUUAUUUUAUAAGAAUUCCUCUAUGUGUAGGAUUGCUGUGUCAGGGCUUAUCCAGGCAUAGCCUGUUCAGAGGGGUUUUGAUGGUGGGGUUUAUGGACCUAGGACCCUUGCUAUGUGCUCACGACACUCCAUGGCUCUGGUACGCACUCCGGCAGUGGGUCUUCUGCUCCUGGAACUGUGCUUUUUAUUUUAUUUUAUUUAUUUACUUAUUUUGUCUUUUUGCCUCUUCUUGAGCCGCUCCCAUGGCAUAUGGAGGUUCCCAGGCUGGUGGCUACAGCUCCGAUUGGACCCCUAGCCUGGGAACCUCCAUAUGUCGCGGGAGUGGCCCUAGAAAAGACAAAAAGACAAAAACAAACAAACAAAUUAAUAAAUAAUUCAAUAGGGCAGGGGAGGGGGGGUCGUCAGGAGCAAGGCCAGGUUGGCUGGCCUGUCUUAAUCAUUAGCUAUACUGGCUGGCAGAGUGAGGGAGGUCCAUGAUGCUUGGAGUUUAUAGGUAUGCCAUCUUGAAAUUCUUAAUAAUUUUAUCUUCGAAUUUGUGAAGACCUGCCUCGGUCACCUUCUCGCCUCCCCAGAUGGGCUUCUGGCUUCCUCUUUCCCGGCCCUUGCCACACCCAGCAGCUGCCCUCUGCUCCUGGUGGGGACCUGGACCUGGGCUUAGGGAGGCGCAGGUCACGAGGCAGAGCCACGAGCAUCUGUGAGGGGCCGCGCUCACCCUGCAAGUACCCUCAGCCCGAGGACACACACUGACUAGCAAAUAAAUCACCCCACAGCAGAUCCAGACAGAGAUGGCAGAAUCAAGGAAAAAGCUUUUCUUCUUCCUCUUGAACAAAAGGCCUCGAAUUUUCACUUUGCACUGGGUGGGCCUUGCUCGUGAGGCCGCCAGCCCUGGGUCCAUAGAAGGUCGUGGGUGGAAAUGAAAUUGAAGCGUCUUUCCCCUUCGGAACAACCACAACACUAAAUGCUUAUUCUGGGAGUUCCCUUGUGGUGCAGUGGGUUAAGGAUCCAGCGUUAUCACUGCUGUGCCCUGGGUUCUAUUCCCUGGCUCAGGAACUUCCACUUGC